Long non-coding RNA from Mytilus trossulus (common blue mussel), 1344 nucleotides. RefSeq lists it as uncharacterized. The transcript is spliced from 5 exons. The record is from RefSeq and is a predicted model, not a curated record. NCBI's taxonomy places the organism in Eukaryota, Metazoa, Mollusca, Bivalvia, Mytilida, Mytilidae.
AUGUCAUUCAAAUGUAUCAUGUUACACAGGUAAUACUGGUCGUUAUUGAAGUAAAACAAAAUCUAUUAAAUGAAGUCAUAGCAUGUUGGAUUUAAACCUUUGCAGAGAAUUUCCCAACUUGUGAAAUAAUCUCACAACAUCAGAAGACAAAGUUUGGCGACUUUUAUAAACCGGUAAAUUCGAUGGACUGUUAGAAAAAAAGCAAUAUAUCAAGAUCAAAAUUAUCAACUGCACAUGCAAUCUGUAUAAUAUAACGGCACUAUCAAAUGUGGAUUAAUUUUGCUGAAAAACAAAUAAAAAAGUAAUUUCAGGAGAAUUUUCCAACUUGUGAAAUAAUCUCUCACAACAUCAGAAGAAACAGUUUGGCGACUUUUAUAAACCGGUAAAUUCGAUGGACUAUUAGAAAAAAAGCAAUAUAUCAAGAUCAAGAUUAUCAACUGCACAUGCUAUCUGUCUAAUAUAACGGCACUAUUAAAUGUGGUUUAAUUUUGCUGAAAAACAAAUAAAAAAGGAGAAUUUCUCAACUUGUGGAAUAAUAUCUAAACAGAAGAACAAAAACUUUCGGCGACUUUUACAAGGUGAUACUAACAUGUUGGAAAUGUCGCUGGAUCACUUUGAUAAACUAAAAAAUCAACAACGAAUUGAGGAAAGUGACAAAGCUGUUAUUUAUUACUCCAGACCUUUUGAUAUCAUUUAUGUUAAUGAUAGAAACACUUUAAUUGACUGCUUUAUGAGAUUAAACAAUAUUGAAUAUAAAUAGACAUGUUUUUAUUUCACCAAAUAAUAUAAAAUUAUACUGUAUAUCUGGAAAUAUUGUGCAACUUAAUCGGUAGUUAUUGUACCCCAAUGUUUUUGUUCAUUGAAAUGGAUUGUACUUGGCCAUGAAAGGAGAAAAAAAUAAAAGCAGUGAUUAUUUAACUUUUCAAAGGCCCAAACUGCAUACAAAAUUUGAUGCAAAAGUAACCUGAUAUACGGUGUAUUGGUACAUGUGCAUUAUCAUUGUGUGUUAACAUUUACUUGGUGCAAUGCAAUUGAUUACAAUAAUAUACAGUCCGCCAAAAGUUAAGCACCACCUAUUUUUAUUGCAUAGAUUUUUUUGCAAAUUAAAAAAAUCAAUUAUUCCACAAAAAAAAGAAAACAAUCAUUUAGCAAUUUUGCUUAUGUAUACCAUAAACAAACCAGAAAUGUAAUUUUAGUCACUUAUAAAGGUUUUAUGCAUGUAGGUUUUCCGUUCAUAGAAAUAGUGUGAAUUACACAAUUCAGAAACAUAAUUUAAGUUUCAGUGUGAUUUUACUUUUUUACAACAAUUGAUCACCCAAUAUUAAUAAAAUUUUCUACACAUUA